Molecule: long non-coding RNA, 423 nt
Organism: Neodiprion fabricii
Lineage: Eukaryota; Metazoa; Arthropoda; Insecta; Hymenoptera; Diprionidae
Exons: 3
Source: RefSeq, a predicted model, not a curated record
CUUAUCACGUGGACAGUGGCCCUCCUGAUGAUCAAGCUUUACAAGUCCUCAUUAAGAUAUUGAAGGCUAUUAAUGAGGAUAGUCCAACGGUGCCCACAUUAUUAACGGACUACAUAUUGAAAGUUCUGUGCCCCAUCUAGUGAUCCACUAGUACAUAUCCUCCGACGUGACAUCGCUGUGCUACGUAUAAAGAAGAAAAGAUUUAUUAAAAUGCAGAUUGCUCCUCUCUACUUGCCAUUGUGCUUUCAUAUAGCACUACAAUAAAUCUUAUAGAAAUAAGCUCUCAUUGAGAUUUUUCUGCAUUUAUGACUCGACGCGAGAAGGCAAAAAUCAAUGUAAUGCCAUCUGUAAGGUAAUUGGACUUGUAUUCGCACUACGAGAACUCGUUGGGCAUUUUGCGGUGAAAUUUGAAAAAUUGUUGUA